RNAcentral lists this ribosomal RNA (425 nucleotides) under uncultured bacterium. Its description in RNAcentral is "partial 16S ribosomal RNA". It matches the Rfam family "Bacterial small subunit ribosomal RNA", at positions 354 to 796 of the family's 1533-position model. The record is from RNAcentral.
GUGGGGAAUAUUGGACAAUGGGCGAAAGCCUGAUCCAGCCAUGCCGCGUGAGUGAUGAAGGCCUUAGGGUUGUAAAGCUCUUUCAGUAGGGAAGAUAAUGACGGUACCUACAGAAGAAGCCCCGGCUAACUUCGUGUCAGCAGCCGCGGUAAUACGAAGGGGGCUAGCGUUGUUCGGAUUUACUGGGCGUAAAGCGCACGUAGGCGGAUUGGUCAGUUAGAGGUGAAAUCCUGGAGCUCAACUACAGAACUGCCUUUAAUACUGCCAGUCUAGAGUCCAGAAGAGGUGAGUGGAACUCCUAGUGUAGAGGUGGAAUUCGUAGAUAUUAGGAAGAACACCAGUGGCGAAGGCGGCUCACUGGUCUGGUACUGACGCUGAGGUGCGAAAGCGUGGGGAGCAAACAGGAUUAGAUACCCUAGUAGUCC